GUGCUUGCUUCGAUAGCACAUAUACUAAAAUUGGAAUGAUACAGAGAAGAUUAGCAUGACCCCUGCUCAAGGAUGACACACAGAUUCAUGAAGCAUUCCAUCUCAAA
Small nuclear RNA from Nycticebus coucang (slow loris), 107 nucleotides. Lineage: Eukaryota; Metazoa; Chordata; Mammalia; Primates; Lorisidae. The record is from RefSeq and is a predicted model, not a curated record.